UUGCGGGCCUCCCAACCGAAGGCGCCGCCCUCUCCUCCCCCUCUCUCCCCGCACGGCCACCGGCGGCGGCCGGACGCAUUUCGGCGGCGUGGUUUCCGGCGUGGACGUCUGGGAGGAGCGGAGGGAGAAGGAGAUGGAACGGACAAGGCGGACGGGGGAGAUCAGGCGGAGGAAGCUGUGGUGGACCCGAAAUCCCGAAUGCCGAGAGCCCCCUCGAGCGCUUCGCCGGCGAGGUGGUCGAGCACCGGUGAGUUGCCGUAGUGACUAUACUUACAAAUUGCCAUGAUUCCACCUGGUGAUGAUCAGUUGGGCGGCGCGGAAGUCUCAGGCACCUGCAUUGGAUUCUACACAAGCCCCAAAAAUUGGUGCAUGCGAGAAAAAAAAGAAAGCAAACAGAGGAUAGUAAAUAAUUCAAGCAAAUUCACCCAUGAGUUCUUCAUCAAGUAGGAUUUCAG
This is a non-coding RNA of Oryza sativa Japonica Group (Japanese rice), 455 nucleotides long. The record is from RefSeq and is a predicted model, not a curated record. NCBI's taxonomy places the organism in Eukaryota, Viridiplantae, Streptophyta, Magnoliopsida, Poales, Poaceae.